Molecule: long non-coding RNA, 1279 nt
Organism: Symphalangus syndactylus (siamang)
Lineage: Eukaryota; Metazoa; Chordata; Mammalia; Primates; Hylobatidae
Source: RefSeq, a predicted model, not a curated record
CGCGCUGGUUCCUGCCAAAUGCAGUUAGCUUUGCUACGCUUCCCUAAGUGGGUUCCCCCAGGGGCCCGGCAGUGUGCUAGGAGCACCCUGCUUCGUAAGUAAGGUAGACAGCCCGUGAUAAAUGCCAAAGUAGAAGCUCCUUCGAAAACCUAAGGAGCCGAUUGGGCGGGACUAACCCUAAGGGAGGGCAGGGGAAGCGACCGUCACCUCCGGGCGCCGGGGACUGGGAACGCCGGGUCGGAGCUGGGCAGGCGGAGAAAUGUAAGCUCCAUGAGGUCAUGGAUUGUGUAUUUUGUUCACUGCUGUAUUCCCUGAGCCUGGAACAGUGCCUGACACAUAGUAGAUGCGCAGUAAAUAUUUGGUGAAUGAAUGAACAAAUGCUAAUACAUCAAAGAGACAACAUCAAAGAACAGACUCCACAGGGCAGUUUACAUCUUCAUUGUUUGGCCCGACCCUUCUUGUUUGAGGGUGGAUUUUCAAAAUUACUGCUGAAGGCAAUUGGGAGCCUUGAAAGUUUUUGCAGGAGACGGGGUCUCACCAUAUUGUCCAGGCUGGUCUCAAACUCCUGACUUCAAGCGAUCUUCUCGCCUCGGCCUCCCAAAGUGCUGGGAUUACAGGCAUAAGCCACUGUGCCUGGCCAAUUAUGAUCUAGUUUGAGUCAUUAAAAAGAAGUCAUCAGUUUGAAAAGAGCUCCAAUCAGAGCAAAAUGAAUUCUGCUAAAAUUGAAGGAACAACAAACGUCAAAUUUAGGGUGAAGUUAGGGUGGAAGAGUGGUAAAAUCACUGAUGCUUUACCAAAAGUUUAUGGGGACAAUGCACCUAAAUAAAUCAGCAGUUUAUAAAUAGUUAACUUGUAAGAAAGGACAAGACGAUGCUGAAGAUGAAGGCUGCAGCAGCAGGUCAUCCACAUCAAUUUGUGAGGAAAAAUUAAUCUUCUUUGUGCCCUAAUUUGGAAGGACCAACGAUUAACAGCAGAAACAACAGCCAACACCAUAGACAUCACAAUUGGUUCAGCUUACAGAAUUCUGACUGAAAAAUUAAAAGUUGAGCAAACUUUCCACUUGAUGGGUGCCAAAACCAGAUCAGCUGCAAAGAACAGAGCUCUUUUUUUUUUUUUUUUUUUUUUUGAGACAGAGUCUUGCUGUCGCCCAGGCUGGAGUGCAGUGGCGCGAUCUCAGCUCACUGUAGGCUCCGUCCCCCGGGGUUCACGCCAUUCUCCUGCCUCAGCCUCCCGAGUAGCUGGGACUACAGGCGCCCACCACCUCGCCCGGCUAAUUUUU